This 681-nucleotide non-coding RNA is filed under the name unclassified sequences. RNAcentral's name for it is "ROOL RNA". It matches the Rfam family "ROOL RNA". From Rfam's summary of the family: Firmicutes, Fusobacteria (1 example), Tenericutes (1 example). Environment (Cow rumen (57)) The record is from Rfam by way of RNAcentral.
AUUUUUAAAAAAAUAGGGAACUCAGUGCAUGAAGGUUUAACCAGCCUUGCUGAGACCGGUUUGAAUGUAGAGUUUUUAUUAUAUUGGAUACUGUAUAAUAAAAACUUCCUAUUGAUAGCGAUUGAGAUAGGAUAGAAACAGAUGUUUCAAAUACAAGAACCAGGUGCCGAUUUAUAUGAGCAAAAAGUAGACCUAACAAGUCGGAGGGAUAAUUGAGUAAGUUGGCAGUAAUAUGUUGGCUAAUGCGGCUUUUAAGUUCUAUAUAGGGAUAUGUAGAUUACUAAAAGUAAAUCCAAAACAACCUCUUGCCGAUGAUGCUAAGAAAUUAGCGUAUAAGACAAAUCAAGGUCGUACAAGUACCACAAAAGGCGAAAACUUUAAGGUAUUACAAAUAAUUGCUGUAACAAAGGUGAUUACUUCUGUAACGAACUUAAAGCAAGUAUAAUAAAUAUCCUGAAUGGUAUGUGGGAAAGUUAGAGGUAGCAAUCCUCUCAGAGCAUCGUGCAGUUUAACGGUUAGGGGCGACUUAUAGUUUAACUACAAGUGGCAACAGACGGUUUAACUGCUAGGGUAUACAGGUUAGGAUGACGGUCCGAAACCUCAGGUAUAUUUUCUCUGUUACAGAAUAUUGCGUAGUAUAAAGUAAGUACGACGAAGGUCGCCCUAUUAUGUUUUUUUAUA